CUUAUACUCCCUUCGUCCCAAAAUUCUUGUCUUAUAUUUGUCUAAAUACGGAUGUAUAUAGUUACGUUUUAGUGUUAGAUAUAUUUGUUUAUAGACAAAUUUAAGAUAAGAAUUUUGGGACGGAGGAAGUAUUUG
Triticum aestivum (bread wheat) is the source of this 135-nucleotide non-coding RNA. The record is from Rfam. NCBI's taxonomy places the organism in Eukaryota, Viridiplantae, Streptophyta, Magnoliopsida, Poales, Poaceae.